RNAcentral lists this ribosomal RNA (768 nucleotides) under uncultured Pelagibacterales bacterium. Its description in RNAcentral is "bacterial SSU rRNA". It matches the Rfam family "Bacterial small subunit ribosomal RNA", at positions 60 to 873 of the family's 1533-position model. The record is from RNAcentral. Lineage: Bacteria; Pseudomonadati; Pseudomonadota; Alphaproteobacteria; Candidatus Pelagibacterales.
AGUCGAGCGGGUAGCAAUACCUAGCGGCAGACGGGUGCGUAACAUGUGGGAAUCUGCCUUUUGGUUCGGAACAACAUGGGGAAAACCUGUGCUAAUACCGGAUAAGUCCUAACGGAGAAAGUUUUAAUGCCAAAAGAUGAGCCCGCAUUUGAUUAGCUUGUUGGUGAGGUAAAAGCUCACCAAGGCUAUAAUCAAUAGCUGAUUUGAGAGGAUGAUCAGCCACACUGGGACUGAGAUACGGCCCAGACUCCUACGGGAGGCAGCAGUGGGGAAUCUUGCACAAUGGGCGAAAGCCUGAUGCAGCGAUGCCGCGUGAGUGAAGAAGGCCUUUGGGUUGUAAAGCUCUUUUGUCGGGAAAGAUAAUGACUGUACCCGAAGAAUAAGGUCCGGCUAACUUCGUGCCAGCAGCCGCGGUAAUACGAAGGGACCUAGCGUAGUUCGGAAUUACUGGGCGUAAAGAGUAUGUAGGCGGCUAGAUAAGUUAAUUGUGAAAGCCCAAAGCUUAACUUUGGAACUGCAAUUAAAACUAUUUUAGCUGGAGUAUGAUAGAGGAAAGCGGAAUACAUAGUGUAGAGGUGAAAUUCGUAGAUAUUAUGUAGAACACCAGUUGCGAAGGCGGCUUUCUGGAUCAUUACUGACGCUGAGAUACGAAAGUAUGGGUAGCGAAGAGGAUUAGAUACCCUCGUAGUCCAUACCAUAAACGAUGAUUAUUAAAUGUGGGGAAUUAUUUCUCUGUAUUAUAGCUAACGCGUUAAAUAAUCCGUCGUG